RNAcentral lists this ribosomal RNA (405 nucleotides) under uncultured bacterium. RNAcentral's name for it is "partial 16S ribosomal RNA". It matches the Rfam family "Bacterial small subunit ribosomal RNA", at positions 30 to 526 of the family's 1533-position model. The record is from RNAcentral.
AUUGAACGCUGGCGGCAGGCUUAACACAUGCAAGUCGAACGAGUGGCGGACGGGUGAGUAAUGCUUGGGAAUCUAGCUUAUGGAGGGGUCUAACUACGGGAAACUGUAGCUAAUACCGCGUACCAUAGGAUGAGCCCCAGUGGGAUUAGGUAGUUGGUGUGGUAAAGGCUCACCAAGCCGACGAUCGCUAGCUGGUCUGAGAGGAUGACAGGCCAAACGGGGACUGAGAAACGGCCCAGACUCCGACGGGAGGCAGCAGUGGGGAAUAUUGCGCAAUGGGGGAAAGCUGACGCAGCCAUGCCGCGUGAAUGAAGAAGGCCUUCGGGUUGUAAAGUUCUUUCGGUAGCGAGGCGUUAACUACAGAAGAAGCACCGGCUAACUCCGUGCCAGCAGCCGCGGUAAUAC